This 483-nucleotide ribosomal RNA is filed under the name uncultured bacterium. RNAcentral describes it as "partial 16S ribosomal RNA". It matches the Rfam family "Bacterial small subunit ribosomal RNA", at positions 28 to 507 of the family's 1533-position model. The record is from RNAcentral.
GACGAACGCUGGCGGCGUGCUUAACACAUGCAAGUCGAACGCUGAAGCUCAGCUUUUGUUGGGUGGAUGAGUGGCGAACGGGUGAGUAACACGUGAGUAACCUGCCUCCUUCUUUGGGAUAACGCCCGGAAACGGGUGCUAAUACUGGAUAUUCACUGGUCUUCGCAUGGGGGUUGGUGGAAAGGGUUUUUCUGGUGGGGGAUGGGCUCGCGGCCUAUCAGCUUGUUGGUGGGGUGAUGGCCUACCAAGGCUUUGACGGGUAGCCGGCCUGAGGGGGUGACCGGUCACAUUGGGACUGAGAUACGGCCCAGACUCCUGCGGGAGGCAGCAGUGGGGAAUAUUGCACAAUGGGCGCAAGCCUGAUGCAGCGACGCCGCGUGAGGGAUGGAGGCCUUCGGGUUGUGAACCUCUUUCGCUCAUGGUCAAGCCGCAACAAUGGUUGUGGUGAGGGUAGUGGGUAAAGAAGCGCCGGCUAACUACGUG